GACGAACGCUGGCGGCGUGCUUAACACAUGCAAGUCGAACGGAAAGGCCCUGCUUUUGUUGGGUGCUCGAGUGGCGAACGGGUGAGUAACACGUGAGUAACCUGCCCUUGACUUUGGGAUAACUUCAGGAAACUGGGGCUAAUACCGGAUAGGAGCUCCUGCUGCAUGGUGGGGGUUGGAAAGUUUCGGCGGUUGGGGAUGGACUCGCGGCUUAUCAGCUUGUUGGUGGGGGAGUGGCUUACCAAGGCUUUGACGGGUAGCCGGCCUGAGAGGGUGACCGGCCACAUUGGGACUGGGAUACGGCCCAGACUCCUACGGGAGGCAGCAGUGGGGAAUAUUGCACAAUGGGCGGAAGCCUGAUGCAGCAACGCCGCGUGCGGGAUGACGGCCUUCGGGUUGUAAACCGCUUUCGCCUGUGACGAAGCGUGAGUGACGGAAAUGGGUAAAGAAGCACCGGCUAACUACGU
RNAcentral lists this ribosomal RNA (467 nucleotides) under uncultured bacterium. Its description in RNAcentral is "partial 16S ribosomal RNA". It matches the Rfam family "Bacterial small subunit ribosomal RNA", at positions 28 to 506 of the family's 1533-position model. The record is from RNAcentral.